Topomyia yanbarensis is the source of this 5002-nucleotide RNA transcript. It is a transcript of the gene named neuropeptide F receptor, with no coding region annotated. Lineage: Eukaryota; Metazoa; Arthropoda; Insecta; Diptera; Culicidae. The transcript is spliced from 5 exons. The record is from RefSeq and is a predicted model, not a curated record.
ACCGGUUCGGUCUAGGUACAGAUUUCGGCUGGGAAAAAAAUCUGAAUUAAGUGUACAAGUUGGACUUUACUCGAUUUGGUGUGAAUUUUUCCGGAUGCUAUAGAAGUUUUCCGACGUGAUUCGUCGUACUACUACCAUCGGUGGGCGUCGGUAGUGCCUAUAGUUUUUCCACGUUUUAUAUGAAGGGCGGUUCGGGCUCGGUGUCAAAUCUGAUUGAAAUGUGAGGUGGCGGCUGUUAUUGAUGAAGUAUUUUAUCGCUUGUUCGUCGGAUGCUUGGUUUCGGUGAACGUGGAAAAAGUUCAACAAUGCGGGAGUAAAAAAGGGUACCGACGGUGACAUGCUGAGGAAGAAUUGAAUUUGUGUUGUUUGGGUUGAUUGAAUAAAUUGAAUCGCUUCCUGAUCCGAGGAUAUAAUGUUUGUUCUCCGUCAAGGGAUGAAAAGCUCGGUGGCAGGAGUUAGCGCGCUACAAAGGAUUAUUUCAGGUCAGCGUAUAUUUUUUUUGAAUGGAACAUCGGCAUAGCUUGUUAAUUUGAAAAUCCACUUAAUACAAAUACUGAGAGGAAGUGAAAAAUUGAUCCCAUAGAAAAAAAUAUUGGAAAUAAACAGAUGCUAGGGCGGUUGGAACAUAAAAUAAAAAAUGUUCCCUAUCGAAAUGAAUUGGUGCGAUGGAAAAUCAUUCACUGCUCGAUUGAUUUCAGUGGUAAAGUUUACUAGAUGAUGCGAAGUAUAAUCCUAUUGCUUGUACCGUUGGUGUAGAUUUUUCAACGAUUGUUUAAUGAAUUGAAAGGGAUUUAUGGGUGACGCGACUCUGUUCAACGUUUAACGUUUUGUUCUGUGAUGCGAAAAUGCCGUAACAGCGAAUAAGUGGAUACGCCAGGCUCUGUACAUCGAAAUAUUUGACGAUAAGAUGACAUCACCCAGUAACGCAUGUCACAGCACGAAACUUCCGCGUCGUAACAUAAUCGUUAAUAUCAACCCGGACAGUGUGUAUUGAAGCACCAAUAAAAUAGGAAAAUUAAAAUAAAAGCAGUUAAUUAUAUCCAAAAAUAAACCUGUCAACGUAUACGAUAGCCAUCGUUUCCCACGUCCAGCCCCGCUAAAACAUGGACAUCGUACUGUCCCGGCUGAACUUCAGCCUGGACAAUGUGACGCUAACUACUAGCACCAUCCGGCAGGGGCUGAUCGAACAGUAUAGCAACAACCGCAAGGUGGACGAUCCGGCCUAUCACAUUCUGAUAGUGAUGUACAGCAUUCUAAUCGUCUUCGGCGCUACCGGAAACAGUUUGGUGGUGAUGGCGGUCGCCCGGAAGCCGCAAAUGCGAACGGCACGCAACAUGUUCAUCGUUAAUCUGGCGGUUUCGGAUCUGCUCCUCUGCCUGGUGACGAUGCCACUGACGCUGGUGGAAAUUCUCACCAAGUACUGGCCGAUGGGACGGUUUCCGUUUCUGUGCAAAUCGAUUGGAACCCUGCAGGCUACCAGCAUUUUCGUGUCGACAAUUUCCAUCACGGCCAUUGCGCUGGACCGGUACCAAGUUAUCGUCUACCCGACACGCGACAACCUCCAGCUGAUGGGUGCCAUUGUGAUACUAACCGGCAUCUGGAUCUUCUCGCUGAUCCUGGCAUCACCGAUGUUCAUCACCAGACGACUAAUACACUACGAUGUGAACCUGUCGAGCCUUGGGAUUGAUUACAUCUCGUACUGCAUCGAAGAUUGGCCAAUGGCACACGGUCGGAUAUACUAUUCCGUGUUUACGUUGUGUGUCCAGUAUAUGCUGCCCAUCCUGAUAGUGUCGGUAGCAUAUCUACGAAUUUAUCUUAAGUUGAAACAUCGCCUCGUCGUGACAACCACGACCGUCAGUUCCAACGCCAGCACGAAGGAUGGGCUGCCGGUUCGGGAACGGGAGCGUGGCCGCCGGAUGCAACGGACCAACUAUCUACUGAUAAGUAUAGCCUUAAUCUUCGGAAUCUCGUGGCUUCCGUUGAAUCUGUUCAACCUGUUUGCCGAUCUGUACCUGGACGGCAUCACCCAGGAGAUCAUGGUCGCGUACGCGAUCUGCCACAUGAUGGGCAUGAGUUCGGCCUGCUCCAAUCCGCUACUGUACGGCUGGCUGAACGAUAACUUUCGCAAGGAAUUUAACGAACUUCUAUGCCGAAAGGACACAAGCACGGUCUCGGCGAACGGUGGAACCGGUAAAUCCGUCUCGCGAAGGAUUCGAACUACGGCCGCCGCUCCGGAAGUAACGCAGGUGGGCGAAAGGUGUCGAACCGCUAGUGACCAAACCGAGCUCACCGAGCUAAUGCCGUGAGUUCGAGAAUCGUUUUGUUUCAAUAGUGCUGCUGAUCAUAUUACUAAAACAACUAAACAACGUGCAUUCUGCUCGAGGUGUGCGACUACUUCCAUGAUUGUUCAUACUGAGGAUAAUAGACUAACAACACAACACAGUAAAUUUCAAGAUACUUCAUUCACACACGCACACUUGAACCCGGUUUGGGAACAGCGUUUGACCGACCCGGAACAUCAGGACCGAACGAAGCUUUGUGCCGACGAGGAUAGUGUCUGAACCGGACUCGUUAGCACCCCUAUCCAAAUAGAUGGAGCUUGACAGCAGCCUAUAUGUAUAUAGCUACAGGCCUCAUUGUUUUCAAUGCUAGCGAUAAUUUGCGAUUAAUUUAUGCACGUGAUGUUUCCGAAUUUUGUGGAAACAAGAGCUGCCAUUAGACGAAUUACGAUUAUGGAAAUCGGUACUGCACGACGGAAUUUAUUCAAUAUUUAAUCAUAAUUAUCAUUUCAUCGUUGUUGGUUUUCAUGGCAGCGAUGCACACAACGUAGCUUCCAUGAAAGCGGGCUGGUCUGUGAACGGUGCCACUGAAGUUUGUCGUGAAACAAAAGAUGUAAUUUAAAUUCACUAUGAGCUUUUUUGCCGCUUCUUUUGGUUUUCUUUUGAUUAUGAAAAUAAGCUGCCAGAGGCGAAGAGUUCCAGAUCCAGCUAGAAAUAAGAUAUGAGCUUUUGAGCAUUGCGCCUGGAUGUAGGUAGUCGACAGCGGGUUCAACGAAGCUUCUUUAAUUAAUGAUUAAAUGAAUCGUUAAUAUGUUUCAUAUUACCUUCUGCAUAGGAUGAACUAUAGGUUGCUAGGCUAGGCAAAUUGUACUCUGUACGUUUUCAGGGACAAACGAAGUUUAACCGACGGUAGGAACGAACUGAGGGUUAUCUACUUUGAUUCAUUCGCACAUUGCUUAACUUGAACGACAUACAGACUUAGCUUAUUGUGCGAGUCUUGUUUUAAUUAAAUGAAAUUCAUGUUUCCAAGAAAAAAAAAUCAUUUCCAAUACUCAAUUGAUCCAUUUAUGUCCGCCACUGUAUGUAAACAUGCCGUGCAGUCAGAGAGUACAGGGAGAGAGGCUAAUAGUGUGAGGUCAAAAAUAGCUUAUUGAGCAGAUCAAUCGAUGACAAUAAAUAAAAAUUACUCAUGCCAGUCGAAGUAGAUGAGUACAGUCGUGAUUCGCUGGUUGGGCCACACCUCUGUCCAACUAACGAAUUUAAUUCGUUAGUUGGACCGACUGACAGAUGUCAAAAACUCUCCAAAGGAGAUGUUAGAAGUGUAAUUGAAUCUAUUCACAUCUCUAAUAAUUGUCAGAUUGAUUGUCAAAGUAAAUUCGACAUAAGAUUUUGACAUUCAGAUGCUUUUUAGUUGGACAAUGCUCCAACUAGCGGAGGUCCAACUAAAAAGCGGUCCAAUUACAAAGUGUCCAACCAGCGAAUCACGACUGUAUUCAACAAAAUAGAAACGUCAAAAUUUAAUCAAAUCGUGGUUGUGUUCUGGAGAAUAUUUCUUUAAAAAAACUUCUUAUGCAUUUUCAAGCGGAUGCUAAAAUGCUACCCAGGUAAAUAAUAAGUAUGCUAAAUGCUUCCUAACAUCUACUUGAUAAGCAUUUAAGUCAAUUUAAAUUCUAUUUAACAGUUACAUUACUGAUGUGAAAUUAAAAUGCAUUUUUACCUAUGCAUUCAUAAUGUUGCCUUUUGGCGAGAAGUUUUUAAACAGUUUUUUGAACGCCUAUUAACAACAGUUAUGCAUAACGAAUGCUAAUAUGCUGCAAGAGCCAUCUGAAGUCCAAAUUAUAUACUACUUUACUGCAUACACUAAUGCUCAUUGUUUAUCUGGGUAGUGUUGAAUUCAUAUUAAAUGGAGGGUUGCUGUUUUGCCGUCUCCUAUUCUCUCUGCUUGCAGUGAGUUUUCUCUCUUUUUGAUUCGUGUUUUGCACGAUUAUCAUGCAUGAAACGUCGUUUUGGCGUAAUACAUGUUUUGUAUUAGCCAUUUAGUUCGGGUGUAUAAUUAACUACCUUCUGCAUUGGACUGAAGGUGUUUACGAUUUUGAAUCGAUCAUUUUAGUCGAGCUUAUUUACAAAUUUACGAUCGAAUUCUUUUGGACUGUUUUUCAAUACAACAAAUUUCUAUGGUUAUUUUAACAACUGGGUGAGUGGACAUAAUUUGCCUAACCUAGAGCAAACACACAUCUAUGAAUACGAUAACAAGGAGGCUUUGUUGAAAAAAGUGGAAAAGUUACACUGUUUCACGUUCAAUUCACAGUUUGAGCCCAACAAUGAAUUUUGUUUUCAAUCGAUUGCAACGCGAUGAGCCCAUUGUUAAAACUUGACAAAUUCCAAUUUAUUCGGCAUAAAUUCAUUGUUCCUGUAUGCAUUGACGAAACAGUAACUUUUUUCGCUUACAACUAGCAAAUAAAAAAUGUUCGCUUAGCUUUGUUAUAUACUAGGAUAAACGAUACAAAUGAUUGAAUGUGAUGGUAACAAAGUGUAGCAUAAUAUAGAUGUUGAAAUCAUUUCGGCAGGUCCUAAAUAAAGUAAGAGGUUUCUAAACUAAUUCGUAAGACAGUCCUGUACAGUUUCCAGCAAGAUGACGCUAGCCGGUAAGUGCAACUUUCUCCCACGAUUGGUAAUAUCAAUGAAAAAAGGUUUUGUCACGAAUCGAGAGUUAUGCGUCAUUU